RNAcentral lists this ribosomal RNA (502 nucleotides) under uncultured bacterium. Its description in RNAcentral is "partial 16S ribosomal RNA". It matches the Rfam family "Bacterial small subunit ribosomal RNA", at positions 28 to 507 of the family's 1533-position model. The record is from RNAcentral.
GACGAACGCUGGCGGCGUGCCUAAUACAUGCAAGUCGAACGAACCGCGACUAGGUGCUUGCACUUGGUCAAGGUGAGUGGCGAACGGGUGAGUAACACGUGGGUAACCUACCUCAUAGUGGGGGAUAACAGUCGGAAACGACUGCUAAUACCGCAUAGGACAUGGGAUCACAUGAUUCUGUGAGGAAAGGUGGCGCAAGCUAUCGCUAAGAGAUGGACCCGCGGUGCAUUAGCUAGUUGGUAGGGUAACGGCCUACCAAGGCGAUGAUGCAUAGCCGACCUGAGAGGGUGAUCGGCCACAUUGGGACUGAGACACGGCCCAAACUCCUACGGGAGGCAGCAGUAGGGAAUCUUCCGCAAUGGACGAAAGUCUGACGGAGCAACGCGGCGGGAGUGAAGAAGGUCUUCGGAUCGGAAAGCGCUGUUGUUAGAGAAGAACAGCGCAUAGAGUAACUGUGACGCGUGUGACGGUAUCUAACCAGAAAGCCACGGCUAACUACGUG